AUGUUCACACAUAGCCUCAGUUUAUUUGCUCUGUACCCUGUCUGGACACUUGUCAUUUCUCAAGUCUCUAAUUUGAACUGUAACCACACAGGAAAUGGUGAAGAAUCUAGAAUAAUUGGGGGGAAGGAUCUACAAAAGCCAAGGAGACUGACCUAUACUCAUCUCAUCUGGGCAUGCACCUUAACUUUAGUAACUUUGAAAUAUGAAAAACUCUUACUUUGUAAACUGGUAAAUGUCAAUUUUUAUAUUACUGGCCUAACAUCUAAUAAUAAAAUCAAGAAAAAGAAAUUUUAAAGGACUGACCAACAUAUACCACUGAUAAAGUUUUAGGUCUUAUUAUUCCCCCCCUUUAUUAAGUGAAACUUAGAUUGCAAAGUGAUAUGUUCCAUGUGAUCCUAUAUUAUUAAAAAUAUGUUCAUAAAAAAGAAUCUUUCUGAAACCAUACAGAGUUUAUAGAUGGCUUUUGCACAUUUAUUUCUUCAAUAAAUCUGUAAUUUAGGGAGAACAGAUAGUAUUAUUAUUUAUAUUUUGUACACAGGGGAAGAGGAACGCAAAGCUUAUCUGUGAGUACGUAUCUAACAAAUGGCAGAGCUAGAACACAAGCUCGAGUCUUCUGACUACAGAUCUUUCUUGAUAGUGUCCCGUUGACGCACAGCUAAAAAUCACAAGGUUUCAUUUGAACCUCAUGUGCCACUGUUUGCAUAAAUGUGACAAACACGUAUUAUGAAAUAACUCAUGUGCCAUAAGUGCGUAACACCAAUAUCGGUCCUUUUCCCACUCACACUUGUUCAACUGCUCUCAUACCACCUGCACAUUUCACCGUGCCCAUCGCCAGUGCCAUCUUACAUCAUUUUGUGCAAUAGUUUGAUUCAUGUGUUUCUCUCUCACUGGACUAUAAACCCCCCACCCUUCCCGAGGGGAGAGAGCAUACCUGAUUUUGCACACACUGAAUUCCCAAUAGAGUUCUCGACUCAUAAUAAGUGCUCAGGAAAUAUUUGUUGAAAGAAUAAAUGAAUGGCAGGUUAAGACAGGGCAGCUAGUGCUUUGAUUUGGGGUUCUGUUCUCAACCAGAAAUCAGUGGGGCCUAUGAGAGACUAAGGUCAAGGGAAAGUAUUCAUGAAAGUGUUUGCAGGUUGUCCUUGGAUCCUGGUGGGAACCAGAGAAGAAAGCAGCAUCCUUUCCAGCUCGUGUGAAGGGAAAUGUGUGUGGCUUUCCUCCUGGGGAGGCCCCUCCAUGGCUCUUUCCUUUCCUUUCCUUCACCUUGGCUGUUGAGCAACGGCCAUGGGUAGUAGGA
Molecule: long non-coding RNA, 1294 nt
Filed under: Canis lupus familiaris (dog)
Lineage: Eukaryota; Metazoa; Chordata; Mammalia; Carnivora; Canidae
Description: lncRNA (ENSCAFG00030015987.1)
Source: RNAcentral